GCGGAGGUAGCUCAAUGGUAGAGCCCCAGUUUUCCAAACUGGAUGUUGCGGGUUCGAGCCCCGUCCUCCGCU
This 72-nucleotide transfer RNA is filed under the name Caulobacteraceae bacterium. RNAcentral describes it as "tRNA-Gly". It matches the Rfam family "tRNA". From Rfam's summary of the family: Transfer RNA (tRNA) molecules are approximately 80 nucleotides in length. Their secondary structure includes four short double-helical elements and three loops (D, anti-codon, and T loops). Further hydrogen bonds mediate the characteristic L-shaped molecular structure. tRNAs have two regions of fundamental functional importance: the anti-codon, which is responsible for specific mRNA codon recognition, and the 3' end, to which the tRNAs corresponding amino acid is attached (by aminoacyl-tRNA synthetases). tRNAs cope with the degeneracy of the genetic code in two manners: having more than one tRNA (with a specific anti-codon) for a particular amino acid; and 'wobble' base-pairing, i.e. permitting non-standard base-pairing at the 3rd anti-codon position. The record is from RNAcentral. Lineage: Bacteria; Pseudomonadati; Pseudomonadota; Alphaproteobacteria; Caulobacterales; Caulobacteraceae.